UUGAAAGUGUGAGUCUGCGUGUGCGUGUGUGGAUAAGUCAAGCCCUGACACUCACUCUGAGUCUGUGUCAACCUUCGCUUUGCCUUCUUCUUCUUCUUCCACAGCACCAGCGCGCUCCGACAUACCAUCCUAACGCCGAUGGCGAGACCAAGGCUAGAGAGAGAGUGCACUUAAACAAGGUGAAGGCUUCAUGGCGGCUCUCAUCCUCGGUUACUUUUGAGUGUGGAGUGUAGAAUUCGUGGUUACGUAGUCAUGUUCAUAAUGCGACCACCGGCUCGAGGUUCAGGGGUUUAGGGUUUGGUGUGCACUGCACUGAAAUCCGUGCGGACCUUUUUUGCUUGAAGUCUGUUUGCUGUGUACUUUGUAGGAUUCUAUUUACAUUCAA
This 385-nucleotide long non-coding RNA is filed under the name Physcomitrium patens. Its description in RNAcentral is "long non-coding RNA (PPAT_LNC002596)". The record is from RNAcentral. Lineage: Eukaryota; Viridiplantae; Streptophyta; Bryopsida; Funariales; Funariaceae.